CGCCCGCCCUGCAGCCACUGGACCACCAGGGAGAGAGACCCCCCCCAGCACUCCCAAAGGUAAGGAGGUUGGGGGGGGAAUUUAAAUUAAAAAAAAGUUAAUGUGUGUGUGUGUUUGUGUCUGACUGUGUGUGUGUUUGUGUCUGACUGUGUGUGUUUGUGAGUGUGUGUUUGUGUCUGUGUAUGUGUCUGACUGUGUGUGUGUGUUUGUGUCUGACUGUGUUUGUGUCUGUGUAUGUGUCUGACUGUGUGUGUGUAUGUGACUGUGUUUGUGUCUGACUGUGUGUGUGUGUUU
Non-coding RNA from Pelobates cultripes (western spadefoot toad), 294 nucleotides. NCBI's taxonomy places the organism in Eukaryota, Metazoa, Chordata, Amphibia, Anura, Pelobatidae. The record is from the annotation of a GenBank genome assembly.